Felis catus (domestic cat) is the source of this 3599-nucleotide long non-coding RNA. RefSeq lists it as uncharacterized. The transcript is spliced from 2 exons. The record is from RefSeq and is a predicted model, not a curated record. Lineage: Eukaryota; Metazoa; Chordata; Mammalia; Carnivora; Felidae.
AAAAAACAUUUAAAGCCUUAAAGCUGGUCAGGUAAAUAGAAUUGAAAUGGACUAUUACUCCAGUAAUAGCAUUUUAAUCCUGUGAUUAUAGACAGAAAAGUCCAAAUGUGAAUUUGGUAUUCACUUAUGAUAGUGGUUUUAGGAUUUUCAAUCUGAGCAUUACACAUGAAAAAGCAUAAUACUAAACUGCAAAUAUUACAUACAUAACAAAGUAUGUAUGGCUGGGCUAAAGCCAAAUACUGAUGGAAUUAGGUUAAUUUGUAGCACAGCAGCACUACCAUGGUUUCUGUCUUCUGGUGAUUAGCCAUUUACCCUGAUUUGUCUUGGACUGAGAAGCCCAUAGAAAAGAACUUGAACACUGUCCCCACAUGGGGACCAAAUUUGUAAGGAAGAGAAGGCAGAGCGACAGAAGGCAAGGUAAGUGGAUGAAUAAGGAAAUACGUGGCAGCAAAGGAGUUCUAGGAAUUUCUUUUGUUGCCUCCAUGACCUCUGCUACCUACUAACAUAGACUCCCUGGCCCAUGUGUAUUUUAUUUUUUGUCAUCAAAGGUGUGUGAAGUAAGUUGCCCGUUUCAUUCCUACAAAAAGCCUCACUGAAGUUUGGGUACGUAUAUUCUCUUUUUUGCAGUCUCGCUGAAGCAAUGAGCAGACUCGAUCCCCAGACCUCACGAUCAUAGGGGAUGGUGGCUCCACACACUGACCACACAUACCCUGGCCUCGUAACCUGCAGAUUUCUUACCAGCUAAAGAGGGUGCAGAGUAAGCUCUGGUGAUCUCUAGGAAAUUGUAAUGGAAUGUCAGGGCAAGGGACAAUCUGUGUCUCAGGAAUCAGACAGGGAAAAACAACAGUCCUGCCAAGAAAUAGGUGGGGCUACUAAUCCACCAAAGUUCAGUACAACCUUUAACAAGACUUGACUGAGGCACCAUGAUGUAGCACAAUGACUCACACCUCUAAGGCCCACCUUGGGGAUUCCCAGAUUCUUGACAUUAGGAAAUUCCACAAUAGUUUGUACUUACUGCAAAUGGAGGUGGGGCUUUAGAUAAGAGAGCUUUGGGGGCUAGUGUUACAAUGACUGCUUUUGUACUCUAACAGUUUAGUGAAGCCUGCACACGUGCACACACACACACACACACACACACGCACGCGCUCAUGAAAAGAAUGCAUAAAAUGCUAAUAAUGGUUGGGCUGGUGGAGCAGUUUUCAAACUUUAGCAUGCAUCAGAAUCCCCUAGAAGACUUUAAAGCAAAAAAUUCCCACAUUCCCAGUUUUCCAUUCACUAGUUCUGGCUGGGGCCCAAGAGUGGGGCCCAUUUCUAACAAGUUCCCAGGUGAUGCUCUGCUCUGGUGGCCACACGUUGAAAACCAGGGGGCUAGAGUAGGGAGACUAGGAAUUAACUUUUUUCUCUCUUCUCUCAAGUUUUUAAAUGAUUUCUCAUCACAGAAAAAGUAUUCUAUGGUUUAUUUUACCUGCCUGCUCCCAGAUCUGAACAUAGAACAUUUGCAAAGAAGGAUGGGCCUUAGUGAAGCUGUUAAGAGAGAGAGAGCAACUAAUCUCCAAAGAACAAAGGACCUGGGGUCCAUGAGCUCUGGUCUUUAACCGUGACAGGUGUGAAAUGAGGACCUGAUGAAUCUCCUCAGGACUUCAAACACUCGCCGGAAACACAAAUUAAAUGAAAACAAGUCUCUCUCUUUCCCUGGUUCUUCAUCUACCAACUUUGAGCACCUAUAUUUCAAAGGAACUACCUUGGCAGAAAUCGGAAGCAUGGUCAAUUCUGCCAAGUAUCCCCUGGGUCUCAUGUGAAUCCACUAUUUCUAUCGAAGCCACCGUGCAUACCUAUAAAGACCUUUGAGAUGUUACCUUUCAAAGAGGUUUGUUGAGGUCCCCCUUCUAGCAGGCAACAGGGUAGGAGGUAUGGGGGGAUGGUAGGGUGAGAUGCCAAGAUACAUCCCAACUGCAUCUUGAACCCCAAGGAGCUUCCAGACCAGUAAUUCAGAAAGCCCUUUUAGACAUUUUCUGUGACCUGAAUGCAGAGGCAUGAAUGCACCAGACAUUGGAAAAUGUCAAACAUGAGUGCCCUCUUUGGUUGCAAAGAAGCUGCGGCACAGGCUUCACAGAGAAAUGCAGAGGCAUAAUGCAGGGGAAGGGGAAUCAAAGGUCAAUGAGGAAGAACUUUGUUUCAUAAAAGGUUGUUGUAAUUCAACAUGCUGCCCUCUCCUCCCCUGAGAUCAAAUCGAUGUAAAAUGGUAAAUAAACCUAGAUGGCUCAGGAGAGGUCCAAUUAAAUGAAACCCCCACACAGCAGCACCUCACUAAUUGGACAGGAAAUUCAUGGUCAGCAAUAAUUCCAUCACAUCAUUCAUGCACUACUUCUCCCUACAUUAUGCCAAAGCUUCUGGCAAAUACCGGACCUCUAGUUUGCACAGAGCUGCUGCAUCCCUGGCACCUUUCAGAGGGCCCCUCGUUCCAAGGUGGCAGGGGAUAAGCGGAAGCUCUCAUCUUUCUGCCCUUCAGCCCUGGAUCCCUUUCCUCUGGCCCACUCAAGGGCAAACUGUUCCUGAAUUUAUGUGGAAGCUCACUGAGUGCAAGAAACAUAGCAAAACAAAGGCAUUAAACCCUGACAUUUUAUUUUACAGAUGAGAAAACAGAAGCAAUGAAAGGGAGUGACUCCCUCAUCGUUAACUUCUUCUACUCCAGCCUCUAGCCUUAAUUCAGGGCAGAAGCCUCCAGUCAGUGUUAAUACAUACAGAUGGGAAUUAAAAGUGGAACAAUUUAUCACUGUCACUGAUGCUAUAUCCUUGCUACAUUGGGUCUGAUGCUCAAGAGCCCUCACCAACAGCCCUGCAUUAAAUCACAAAUUGUGCGGGACCCAGACGGUUGUCCUGGUGUGAAUUGCUCUUAACAUAAGAUUUGGGGCCUUCAGAUGCUGCCAGUAGCAUUGAGCCCCCACUCAGCAUGGAUGGGACUAACAAGCCCUUUCCUAGAGAUGGGAAAUCAAGGGAGACACCAUCCUUUCCUUGCUUCCAGGUUCGUCACCUAUACCCACCGUACAACGGAUGUACAGAGAAGCACACUUUUUUGUCUCUUCAACAUGGAAUGCAUAGGUCUUCCCCCCAUUCAUCCCCCUUCUUUUUCUCCCCCGCCUAGUCCUCUUCCAUUCAAAGCACUGCAGACACUUCCCCCUGCGAACACUUCUUCAUUUGGCUGAACCCUGGUAACCCAGUCUCAGGAAAAGGAGGAGGGGACUUAACCAGAUCCAGCAGAGGGCCAGGAAGCCUGGAACUGGCUAACCUUCCCUCCAACUGUGCACACCGUCCAGAGGUUAUCGUUGCUGCUCCCCUGCUGUAUCCAAGCCUGUACCUCCAGGUUCCUGUGAAUUCUGAGAGUCCCUAAUGACCGUCCCAUAAAUGCCCCUUUGCUAAUUGAGCCACUAUGACUCUCUGUUACUUGCAGUCAACAAACUCUAAGUGACCUAUCCCCUCCACGCUCCCAACCCCUACAAUAACAUUCUAAUCCCAUUCCCAUUUCUUGUUCAGAUCUAGCAACUCAAACAUAGCAAUUAAACCAUAAGUCCUGCUAAGCUGUGCAUUAGGCUUCCUUCUCA